This 562-nucleotide ribosomal RNA is filed under the name uncultured bacterium. RNAcentral describes it as "partial 16S ribosomal RNA". It matches the Rfam family "Bacterial small subunit ribosomal RNA", at positions 355 to 935 of the family's 1533-position model. The record is from RNAcentral.
UGGGGAAUAUUGGACAAUGGGCGAAAGCCUGAUCCAGCAAUGCCGCGUGAGUGAUGAAGGCCUUAGGGUUGUAAAGCUCUUUUACCCGGGAUGAUAAUGACAGUACCGGAGAAUAAGCUCGCUAACUUCGUGCCAGCAGCCGCGGUAAUACGAGGGGAGCUAGCGUUGUUCGGAAUUACUGGGCGUAAAGCGCGCGUAGGCGGUUUUUUAAGUCAGAGGUGAAAGCCCCGGGGCUCAACCCCGGAAGUAAGCCUUUGCAAAUCAUGGAAAACUAGAAAUCUUGGAGAGGUCAGUGGAAUUCCGAGUGUAGAGGUGAAAUUCGUAGAUAUUCGGAAGAACACCAGUGGCGAAGGCGACUGACUGGACAAGUAUUGACGCUGAGGUGCGAAAGCGUGGGGGGCAAACAGGAUUAGAUACCCUGGUAGUCCACGCCGUAAACGAUGAUAACUAGCUGUCCGGGCUCAUAGAGCUUGGGUGGCGCAGCUAACGCAUUAAGUUAUCCGCCUGGGGAGUACGGUCGCAAGAUUAAAACUCAAAUGAAUUGACGGGGUCAUAGCUGUUU